AAUUUUGGACAAUGGGGGAAACCCUGAUCCAGUCAUCCCUCUUGUAUGAUGAACGCCUUCGCGUUGUAAAGUACUUUUGUUAGAGAAGAAUGGGUAUCUCUUAUAACGCGAUACGGUCGACUGUAUCUGCAGUAUAAGUACCGACAAACCUCGUGCAACCAGCCGCGGUAAUACGUAGAGUGCAAGCGUUAAUCGGAAUUACCGGGCGUAAGGCGUGUGUAGGCGGUUCGGAAAGAAACAUGUGAAAUCCCAGGGCUCAACCUUGGAACUGCAUUUUUAACUGCCAAGCUAGAGUAUGUCAGAGGGGAGUAGAAUUCCACGUGUAGCAGUGAAAUGCGUAGAUAUGUGGAGGAAUACCGCUGGCGAAGGCAGCCCCCUGGGAUAAUACUGACGCUCAGACACGAAAGCGUGGGGAGCAAACA
RNAcentral lists this ribosomal RNA (422 nucleotides) under uncultured bacterium. Its description in RNAcentral is "partial 16S ribosomal RNA". It matches the Rfam family "Bacterial small subunit ribosomal RNA", at positions 360 to 774 of the family's 1533-position model. The record is from RNAcentral.